AAUACCAUUCAUUCGUUCACUCAUUCGUGUAUUCGCUCACCCCCUCACUCCGCUCAUCAGCUGGGGGCACAGAGAUGAGUAAGUCGAUGCCCGCUCUUGGGAGUGCACAGCGGAAUGGGGGAGACAGGCUGUCUCUCAAACUGAAGGAGUCCCUACCCAGGCACAUGUUAGCUUGAUGCGAGCGUGCAUGGUGACCUUGAAAGAUGGGAACCAGAAAUGGAAGAAGACUGGGUCUACAACUUGCUGCUUGAGGGAGAGAUGCCCACUGAUCAGGAACAUACAUUUUGGAUUUAUAAAGCCAGAAAUAAACUUUUAUCAUG
This is a long non-coding RNA of Leptonychotes weddellii (Weddell seal), 320 nucleotides long. RefSeq lists it as uncharacterized. The record is from RefSeq and is a predicted model, not a curated record. NCBI's taxonomy places the organism in Eukaryota, Metazoa, Chordata, Mammalia, Carnivora, Phocidae.